Molecule: microRNA precursor, 58 nt
Filed under: Lepisosteus oculatus (spotted gar)
Lineage: Eukaryota; Metazoa; Chordata; Actinopteri; Semionotiformes; Lepisosteidae
Description: Loc-Mir-15-P1c-as_pre stem-loop
Source: RNAcentral
AGGCAGCUCCGCAUGGUCUGUAUCUCCUCGUCACUACAAACCAUGUAGUGCUGCUACA